This 376-nucleotide ribosomal RNA is filed under the name uncultured bacterium. Its description in RNAcentral is "bacterial SSU rRNA". It matches the Rfam family "Bacterial small subunit ribosomal RNA", at positions 521 to 896 of the family's 1533-position model. The record is from RNAcentral.
UAAUACGUAGGGGGCAAGCGUUGUCCGGAUUUAUUGGGCGUAAAGAGCGUGUAGGCGGCUUGGUAGGUCUUGCGUCAAAACCUGAGGCUCAACCUCAGUUCGCGUGGGAAACCAUCUAGCUAGAGUCCGGAAGAGGAGAACGGAAUUCCCAGUGUAGCGGUGAAAUGCGCAGAUAUUGGGAAGAACACCAGUGGCGAAGGCGGUUCUCUGGGACGGUACUGACGCUGAGACGCGAAAGCGUGGGGAGCGAACAGGAUUAGAUACCCUGGUAGUCCACGCCGUAAACGAUGGGCGCUAGGUGUGGGAGGUGUCGACUCCUUCCGUGCCGAAGCUAACGCAUUAAGCGCCCCGCCUGGGGAGUACGGCCGCAAGGCUA